Long non-coding RNA from Lutra lutra (Eurasian river otter), 221 nucleotides. RefSeq lists it as uncharacterized. The record is from RefSeq and is a predicted model, not a curated record. NCBI's taxonomy places the organism in Eukaryota, Metazoa, Chordata, Mammalia, Carnivora, Mustelidae. The transcript is spliced from 2 exons.
CUUUGGUGAGUUUUCUGAGUAUCAUGUCAUCUGCACAUAGUUAAAGUUUGACUUCUUCCUUGCUUAUUUCAAUGCCUUUUAUCCUUUUGUGGUGAGGAUUCCAUUACUGUGUUGAAUAAGAUGGUAAGAAUGGUAAGAGUGGAUAUCCCUGUCUUAUUCCUGACUGUAGAGGAAAAGCUUUCAGGUUUUCCCCUUUUAGGUUGAUAUUAGCUAUGGUUUUA